GAUGAACGCUAGCGAUAGGCCUAACACAUGCAAGUCGAGGGGCAGCACAAGGUAGCUUGCUAUCUGGGUGGCGACCGGCGCACGGGUGCGUAACGCGUAUGCAACUUGCCCUAUACAGGAGGAUAACCCGUCGAAAGACGGACUAAUACUGCGUAUGCUCACAACUUGGCAUCAAGUGGUGAGGAAAGAAAUUCGGUAUAGGAUAGGCAUGCGUCCCAUUAGCUUGUUGGUGAGGUAACGGCUCACCAAGGCAACGAUGGGUAGGGGAACUGAGAGGUUUAUCCCCCACACUGGUACUGAGACACGGACCAGACUCCUACGGGAGGCAGCAGUGAGGAAUAUUGGGCAAUGGGCGCGAGCCUGAACCAGCCAAGUCGCGUGAAGGAUGACUGUCUUAUGGAUUGUAAACUUCUUUUAGACGGGAAUAACAAGAGUCACGGGUGACUCAAUGAAUGUACCGUAUGAAUAAGCAUCGGCUAACUCCGUG
RNAcentral lists this ribosomal RNA (487 nucleotides) under uncultured bacterium. RNAcentral's name for it is "partial 16S ribosomal RNA". It matches the Rfam family "Bacterial small subunit ribosomal RNA", at positions 28 to 507 of the family's 1533-position model. The record is from RNAcentral.